UACGGGGCAAGCGUUGUUCGGAAUUACUGGGCGUAAAGGGCUUGUAGGCGGCCAACUAAGUCCGACGUGAAAUCCCCAGGCUUAACCGGGGAACUGCGUCUGAUACUGGAUGGCUUGAGUUUGGGAGAGGGACGCGGAAUUCCAGGUGUAGCGGUGAAAUGCGUAGAUAUCUGGAGGAACACCGGUGGCGAAGGCGGCGUCCUGGACCAACACUGACACUGAUGAGCGAAAGCCAGGGGAGCAAACGGG
Molecule: ribosomal RNA, 249 nt
Filed under: uncultured bacterium
Lineage: Bacteria
Description: partial 16S ribosomal RNA
Rfam family: Bacterial small subunit ribosomal RNA
Source: RNAcentral